This is a non-coding RNA of Pelobates cultripes (western spadefoot toad), 281 nucleotides long. The record is from the annotation of a GenBank genome assembly. Lineage: Eukaryota; Metazoa; Chordata; Amphibia; Anura; Pelobatidae.
CACUCGACUGGCUCUAGUCCAAACGUGGCCCUAUUCCACCACACCUCCCAUAAACAUGGUCCUUCAAAAAAAAGAAAAGUAUCUUAUGGACAAACUGACUGCACAAGUUCAGGGAUCCAUGAAGGCUUUCUCUAGAGUCUGGGAGCCAUGGAAAGACUAGAAGGACAACUAAUAAAAAAGGCCCCUGAUGCUGCACCAAAGUCUAAUCUUGCCCCCCCACCCACCUCUCCUAGAAGAUGCUCCUUCCGCCAUUGCCGACCAGAGACCUCCGGACCUCUCAC